This 800-nucleotide ribosomal RNA is filed under the name uncultured bacterium. RNAcentral's name for it is "bacterial SSU rRNA". It matches the Rfam family "Bacterial small subunit ribosomal RNA", at positions 8 to 787 of the family's 1533-position model. The record is from RNAcentral.
AGAGUUUGAUCCUGGCUCAGAACGAACGCUGGCGGCGUGGAUAAGACAUGCAAGUCGAACGGGAUACGUUUUGUAGCAAUACGAGGCGUGUUCAGUGGCGCAAGGGUGCGUAACACGUGGGUAAUCUGCCGGGAAGUGGGGGAUAGCUCGCCGAAAGGCGAAUUAAUACCGCAUGAGGCUAGGGAGGACAUCCUCUCGACGCCAAAGUCGGGGCAACCUGACGCUUCCUGAUGAACCCGCGGCCUAUCAGCUAGUUGGUGAGGUAACGGCCCACCAAGGCUAUGACGGGUAGCUGGUCUGAGAGGACGACCAGCCACACUGGAACUGAGACACGGUCCAGACACCUACGGGUGGCAGCAGUCGAGAAUUUUUCUCAAUGGGCGAAAGCCUGAAGGAGCGACGCCGCGUGGAGGAUGAAGGUCUUCGGAUUGUAAACUCCUGUCAUUAGGGAACAAUUGGCGUGGUAGUAACUGACCGCGCCUUGAUAGUACCUGAAGAGGAAGAGACGGCUAACUCUGUGCCAGCAGCCGCGGUAAUACAGAGGUCUCAAGCGUUGUUCGGAUUCAUUGGGCGUAAAGGGUGCGUAGGCUGUGUCGUAAGUCGGAUGUGAAAUCUCGGGGCUUAACCCCGAAACUGCAUUCGAUACUGCGGUGCUAGAGGACUGGAGAGGAGAUCGGAAUUCACGGUGUAGCAGUGAAAUGCGUAGAUAUCGUGAGGAAGGCCAGUGGCGAAGGCGGAUCUCUGGACAGUAUCUGACGCUGAGGCACGAAGGCCAGGGGAGCAAACGGGAUUAGAUACCC